ACUCAACGUUAAUUCUUUAAAAAGGGUAAGUUGAAGUUGUUAAAGCAUGCUGCUAGUGCUAGUUUAUUCUAGUAUCUCGGGCAGACCCUUGAUCAGCUUGUUAGCCCUAAACUUGUUUUUAAGGAGUUU
RNAcentral lists this small RNA (129 nucleotides) under Hyunsoonleella pacifica. RNAcentral describes it as "Hyunsoonleella sp. sw033 6S-Flavo RNA". It matches the Rfam family "6S-Flavo RNA". The record is from Rfam by way of RNAcentral. Lineage: Bacteria; Pseudomonadati; Bacteroidota; Flavobacteriia; Flavobacteriales; Flavobacteriaceae.